GGUGCUCAGAAAGCAUGCGUCCCUUAGAGUCCCACAGAAAGGUUCUCAGUGCGCUCUCUAUCAAGAGGCUCUAGGAAGGAUUCAUGUUGUAACUGCUGUCACUGCAAUCAGUUGGUGGUUCAGCCUUGAAACGUGCACUUGGCCUUCUAUAAAGCGCUGUUUUGUUUGCCUUUCAUUGCUAUGAGUCUUGAUAAAUUGGAGAAGAGCCCAAGAGAAAUUUUUCAUCCCUUGAUAUAAAAGGGAUCGGUGAAUUUUAACUUUGGAGUCCUCUAUGCUAAGGAUGCUCAGCUUACAGAUGAUGAAAUGUUCAGUAAUGGUGAGUUUUUCACGUUCUCUUUAAUUGCUGUGCUGAUCUGAAUAAGAAAAAAACAAAAGCAAGAGGGAAAAAAAAGGAUGGUUUAUUAUUUUUUACGCUGUUAUGUUUGUUUCCUCAGUAUUUGCUGCAGCUCUGCUUACCCAAGCUUUGUGUUCCUUCUGUCCCACUGGGAGUUGCCCAGUUUGGUUGCAUCUGGUGAAAUUCACCCUGAGACCUUACACAACUAGCUCAAACUACGUGAGAGCCAUUUGCAGUUCUCUCCAGACACCUGGAGAAUGGGUGACGUUUCUGAGGGUCUGGCAAGUGUACUUCUAUCAAAACUCAGUCUGUGAAGUUUCUGGGGAAAACCCUUCUGUGUCCUGAAGGGUUCAAACUCCUGUGAGGAUCCAUUUAUCAGGUGCUCACCUGGAUGGUUCCAGCUCUUAAAGUGAACACUUGUACUC
Melospiza melodia melodia is the source of this 759-nucleotide long non-coding RNA. RefSeq lists it as uncharacterized. NCBI's taxonomy places the organism in Eukaryota, Metazoa, Chordata, Aves, Passeriformes, Passerellidae. The transcript is spliced from 3 exons. The record is from RefSeq and is a predicted model, not a curated record.